Molecule: long non-coding RNA, 419 nt
Organism: Oreochromis aureus
Lineage: Eukaryota; Metazoa; Chordata; Actinopteri; Cichliformes; Cichlidae
Exons: 3
Source: RefSeq, a predicted model, not a curated record
CUUCAUGUGUUUAUCUCUGUUGGAUCUGUCUGUGUUGUGGUUCUACUGGUUUUACUGGCUCUACUGGUGAGAAGAGAUGUUGACCGGAAACCUGAAGAGGUUUAUACAGCUGUAGUUUACUCAGCAGUGAGAGCUGAAGACGUCAGUAUUGGAGACAAAACCAUCAGAAAGAGGAGUCCAAGACUUUAAACCAGAGCCAGACGUCGUCUACUCUUCACUGAAGUAGUCCACCAGUCCAACCACUGACGUCCAGCUGCUGGUCUCUAACUGGUCCUCCAGCACCUCAAACCAGAGGACAUCAACAUUGAAUUUUACAUAUCUUAAGUCUUUUUUUCUCACUGAGAAAACCCAUAGACUCAAAAAUUGUAUUAUGGAUUUUUUAAAAUUGUCCUUUCAUAAGGAAUCACAGCACACAAGCA